AUUGAACGCUGGCGGCAUGCCUUACACAUGCAAGUCGAACGGUAACAGGUCUUCGGAUGCUGACGAGUGGCGAACGGGUGAGUAAUACAUCGGAACGUGCCCGAUCGUGGGGGAUAACGAGGCGAAAGCUUUGCUAAUACCGCAUACGAUCUACGGAUGAAAGCAGGGGACCGCAAGGCCUUGCGCGAACGGAGCGGCCGAUGGCAGAUUAGGUAGUUGGUGGGAUAAAAGCUUACCAAGCCGACGAUCUGUAGCUGGUCUGAGAGGACGACCAGCCACACUGGGACUGAGACACGGCCCAGACUCCUACGGGAGGCAGCAGUGGGGAAUUUUGGGCAAUGGGCGAAAGCCUGAUCCAGCCAUGCCGCGUGCAGGAUGAAGGCCUUCGGGUUGUAAACUGCUUUUGUACGGAACGAAAAGACUCUGGUUAAUACCUGGGGUCCAUGACGGUACCGGAAGAAUAAGCACCGGCUAACUACGUG
Molecule: ribosomal RNA, 482 nt
Filed under: uncultured bacterium
Lineage: Bacteria
Description: partial 16S ribosomal RNA
Rfam family: Bacterial small subunit ribosomal RNA
Source: RNAcentral